AAAUUGAAGAGUUUGAUCAUGGCUCAGAUUGAACGCUGGCGGCAGGCCUAACACAUGCAAGUCGAGCGGUAACACAGAGAGCUUGCUCUCGGGUGACGAGCGGCGGACGGGUGAGUAAUGUCUGGGAAACUGCCUGAUGGAGGGGGAUAACUACUGGAAACGGUAGCUAAUACCGCAUAACGUCGCAAGACCAAAGUGGGGGACCUUCGGGCCUCAUGCCAUCAGAUGUGCCCAGAUGGGAUUAGCUAGUAGGUGGGGUAACGGCUCACCUAGGCGACGAUCCCUAGCUGGUCUGAGAGGAUGACCAGCCACACUGGAACUGAGACACGGUCCAGACUCCUACGGGAGGCAGCAGUGGGGAAUAUUGCACAAUGGGCGCAAGCCUGAUGCAGCCAUGCCGCGUGUGUGAAGAAGGCCUUCGGGUUGUAAAGCACUUUCAGCGGGGAGGAAGGCGUUAAGGUUAAUAACCUUGGCGAUUGACGUUACCCGCAGAAGAAGCACCGGCUAACUCCGUGCCAGCAGCCGCGGUAAUACGGAGGGUGCAAGCGUUAAUCGGAAUUACUGGGCGUAAAGCGCACGCAGGCGGUCUGUCAAGUCGGAUGUGAAAUCCCCGGGCUCAACCUGGGAACUGCAUUCGAAACUGGCAGGCUAGAGUCUUGUAGAGGGGGGUAGAAUUCCAGGUGUAGCGGUGAAAUGCGUAGAGAUCUGGAGGAAUACCGGUGGCGAAGGCGGCCCCCUGGACAAAGACUGACGCUCAGGUGCGAAAGCGUGGGGAGCAAACAGGAUUAGAUACCCUGGUAGUCCACGCCGUAAACGAUGUCGAUUUGGAGGUUGUGCCCUUGAGGCGUGGCUUCCGGAGCUAACGCGUUAAAUCGACCGCCUGGGGAGUACGGCCGCAAGGUUAAAACUCAAAUGAAUUGACGGGGGCCCGCACAAGCGGUGGAGCAUGUGGUUUAAUUCGAUGCAACGCGAAGAACCUUACCUGGUCUUGACAUCCACAGAACUUUCCAGAGAUGGAUUGGUGCCUUCGGGAACUGUGAGACAGGUGCUGCAUGGCUGUCGUCAGCUCGUGUUGUGAAAUGUUGGGUUAAGUCCCGCAACGAGCGCAACCCUUAUCCUUUGUUGCCAGCGGUUAGGCCGGGAACUCAAAGGAGACUGCCAGUGAUAAACUGGAGGAAGGUGGGGAUGACGUCAAGUCAUCAUGGCCCUUACGACCAGGGCUACACACGUGCUACAAUGGCAUAUACAAAGAGAAGCGACCUCGCGAGAGCAAGCGGACCUCAUAAAGUAUGUCGUAGUCCGGAUUGGAGUCUGCAACUCGACUCCAUGAAGUCGGAAUCGCUAGUAAUCGUAGAUCAGAAUGCUACGGUGAAUACGUUCCCGGGCCUUGUACACACCGCCCGUCACACCAUGGGAGUGGGUUGCAAAAGAAGUAGGUAGCUUAACCUUCGGGAGGGCGCUUACCACUUUGUGAUUCAUGACUGGGGUGAAGUCGUAACAAGGUAACCGUAGGGGAACCUGCGGUUGGAUCACCUCCUUACCUUAAAGAA
RNAcentral lists this ribosomal RNA (1550 nucleotides) under Klebsiella pneumoniae. RNAcentral's name for it is "bacterial SSU rRNA". It matches the Rfam family "Bacterial small subunit ribosomal RNA". The record is from RNAcentral. Lineage: Bacteria; Pseudomonadati; Pseudomonadota; Gammaproteobacteria; Enterobacterales; Enterobacteriaceae.